UGAGGUAGUAGUUUGUACAGUA
Molecule: non-coding RNA, 22 nt
Filed under: Mus musculus (house mouse)
Lineage: Eukaryota; Metazoa; Chordata; Mammalia; Rodentia; Muridae
Source: RNAcentral